This 1599-nucleotide small RNA is filed under the name Pongo abelii (Sumatran orangutan). Its description in RNAcentral is "retained intron". Lineage: Eukaryota; Metazoa; Chordata; Mammalia; Primates; Hominidae. The record is from RNAcentral.
CCCGGGAGGCGCCGGAGCCCAGCGGCUGGCGCCAGAUCCAGGCUCCUGGAAGAACCAUGUCCGGCAGCUACUGGUCGUGCCAGGCACACACUGCUGCCCAAGAGGAGCUGCUGUUUGAAUUAUCUGUGAAUGUUGGAAAGAGGAAUGCCAGAGCUGCCGGCUAAAAAUUACCCAACCAAGAGAAAUGUAGGCUGGGCAGCCUGAAUCACCCCCUGCAGGAUGGACUUUCUGGUCCUCUUCUUGUUCUACCUGGCUUCGGUGCUGAUGGGUCUUGUUCUUAUCUGCGUCUGCUUGAAAACCCAUAGCUUGAAAGGCCUGGCCAGGGGAGGAGCACAGAUAUUUUCCUGUAUAAUUCCAGAACGUCUUCAGAGAGCUGUGCAUGGAUUGCUUCAUUACCUUUUCCAUACGAGAAACCACACCUUCAUUGUCCUGCACCUGGUCUUGCAAGGGAUGGUUUAUACUGAGUACACCUGGGAAGUAUUUGGCUACUGUCAGGAGCUGGACUUCUCCUUGUAUUACCUUCUUCUGCCCUAUCUGCUGCUAGUUGUAAACCUGUUUUCUUUCACCCUGACUUGUGUAACCAAUCCUGGCGUUAUAACAAAAGCAAAUGAAUUAUUAUUUCUUCAUGUUUAUGAAUUUGAUGAACUGAUGUUUCCAAAGAACGUGAGGUGCUCUACUUGUGAUUUAAGGAAACCAGCUCGAUCCAAGCACUGCAGUGAGUGUGGCUCUCGUGACUCCAGCGGCACCCCCAACAGCACAUGUGUGGGCUUUGUCUGUGAGGGAAUGUUUCCUGAAUCCAAAAGCAGAGCCAGUUCACCCCUAGACAUGGUGUGGCCACUACUUGUAGAGUUGAGAUAAUGGUUUCUUUCAGAUGAGUGAGGGUCAGGUCUUGUGUUCCUGUGUAGUAGACAGUCCUCAUCUCUGGGCAUAACAGCCCUUCCCUUGCCACGUGGCAGGACAUGCUCCCCACAAGUUGUUUCUGCGGAUGUUGUGUUUGCAGAUUUCAGUCCCACAAAGCCUAGUCUUCUGGGGAGGGCCCAACAUUCUAGACCAGUGCUGUCUAACAAAAAUAGAAUGUGGCUGGGUGCAGCGGCUCAUGCCAGGAAUUCCAGUACUUUGGCAGAUCUCUUGAGCCUAGGAGUUCAAGACCAGCCUGGGCACCAUGGGGAAACCCCACCUCUAUGAAAAAUAGAAAAGUUGUAGUCCUGGCUACUCAGGAGGCUGAGGCGGGAGGAUCACUUGAGCCCAGGAGAUCGAGGCUGCAGUAAGCUAUGAUUAAACCACUGCACUCCAGCCUCAGCAACAGAGCAAGACCCUGUCUCAGAAAAAAAAAAAAACACCAUGAAUAGAAAGUUUUUAAAAAUGUUUUUCAGAAUGUGGCUGUGCUUGGAGACAGUUUUAAUCAGGAUGUUAUUUAACCUAACAUAUGUAAAAUAUCACUUUAACAUGUAAUCAAUGUAAAAAAUUCUUCAUGAGAUAGUUUAUAUUCUCUUUUUCAUACGAAGCCUUUGAAAUCUGGUGUGUGUAUUUUACAUUUACAGCACAUCUUGAUUUGGACACUAAAUUUUCAUGUGGAAAUACUUGUGUAUUUAGAUUUAA